This 72-nucleotide transfer RNA is filed under the name Leiodidae sp. BMNH 1274324. Its description in RNAcentral is "tRNA-Ile". Lineage: Eukaryota; Metazoa; Arthropoda; Insecta; Coleoptera; Leiodidae. The record is from RNAcentral.
AAUUAUUUGUGCCUGAAUUUAAAAGGAUCAUUUUGAUAGAGUGAAUAAUGUAAGUAAAUUACCAAAUAAUUA